This 593-nucleotide ribosomal RNA is filed under the name uncultured bacterium. RNAcentral describes it as "bacterial SSU rRNA". It matches the Rfam family "Bacterial small subunit ribosomal RNA", at positions 335 to 919 of the family's 1533-position model. The record is from RNAcentral.
AUUCCUACGGGAGGCAGCAGUGGGGAAUUUUGGACAAUGGGCGCAAGCCUGAUCCAGCCAUGCCGCGUGAGUGAAGAAGGCCUUCGGGUUGUAAAGCUCUUUCGGCCGGGAAAAAAUCGCCUGGGUUAAUACCCUGGGUGGAUGAUGGUACCGGAAUAAGAAGCACCGGCUAACUACGUGCCAGCAGCCGCGGUAAUACGUAGGGUGCGAGCGUUAAUCGGAAUUACUGGGCGUAAAGCGUGCGCAGGCGGUUUUGUAAGACAGGCGUGAAAUCCCCGGGCUCAACCUGGGAACUGCGCUUGUGACUGCAAGGCUAGAGUACGGCAGAGGGGGGUGGAAUUCCACGUGUAGCAGUGAAAUGCGUAGAGAUGUGGAGGAACACCGAUGGCGAAGGCAGCCCCCUGGGCCGAUACUGACGCUCAUGCACGAAAGCGUGGGGAGCAAACAGGAUUAGAUACCCUGGUAGUCCACGCCCUAAACGAUGUCAACUAGGUGUUGGGUGGGUAAAACCAUUUAGUACCGUAGCUAACGCGUGAAGUUGACCGCCUGGGGAGUACGGCCGCAAGGUUAAAACUCAAAGGAAUUGACGGAAU